Molecule: microRNA precursor, 92 nt
Organism: Trichomalopsis sarcophagae
Lineage: Eukaryota; Metazoa; Arthropoda; Insecta; Hymenoptera; Pteromalidae
Rfam family: mir-3477 microRNA precursor family
Source: Rfam
GGUAGUGUCUGUGUAGGUAAUCUCAUGCGGUAACUGUGAGCGUGUGAAAAACUAUGGCUCAUAUUACCUCGUGGGAUUUCCCAUCCACUACC